GCGUGCGGUGACGGUGCCGCGCCCAUCACUUCACGCCCAAGAACCCCUGGCAGCCAGAAUGUCACACCAGCAAGACCCUGAGGGUGUUGUCUUCUCAAACUGGCUUGUGUCACUGAAGUUUUCAGCGUUUCUGGCGCCCUCUGUCUUUCUCGCCUUCUCUCUGGUUAGGAAAAGUAGCCCUUCGGAUACAUUCGAUCCCUUUCCCUGACAGAGGCUGGAGAGCCAGGCCCCUGGCUCCUGGGCGGUGUGGACCAGGACACUGGGCGUGCGGGGCGCCUUCCCAGAAAGGAUCUGGUUCAGAUAAAGCAUGCCGGACAGAGGAGCAGGAAACCUCAAGAAAUUGAGGGUUUGCUUCUGGACCACUGGGACAAGGUGAAUAUUGCAAUAAAGUGAGUCAAAUGAA
Hyaena hyaena (striped hyena) is the source of this 403-nucleotide long non-coding RNA. RefSeq lists it as uncharacterized. The transcript has 3 exons. Lineage: Eukaryota; Metazoa; Chordata; Mammalia; Carnivora; Hyaenidae. The record is from RefSeq and is a predicted model, not a curated record.